GAAGGGUUUUUUAAAAAUAAUAAUCACAAAGACUGUUUUAUAUCAGCUUUUAGGCUCUAAUUAAGAAGUUGGUCAGGGAAGGUUUCUUUUUUCCAGGAUAUCUAAAGAUAAACAACUUGGCAACAUGUGAAGAUUGCACAAGGUCUACUAGGUUUAGGCAGUAUGUGGGAUGCUCUGGGCUGCUAUUCCCACUUUACCAUCUCAGAUGUCACAUGGGAAAUUAAUCAAAUGAAUUGUAACAUCUGUCACACUUGUAAAUGGAACGAAGAAUAAAGCAUUUCUAAAAUAUUGUACCUGGCUGGGAAAAAUGAUGUAGCACUAUCUUUAAAAAGAAAAUUAAAUCUUUAAUUUACACUAUGCAUAAUAAAAUGGCACUUUCAUUCUCUGUGUGAACAAA
Molecule: long non-coding RNA, 397 nt
Organism: Monodelphis domestica (gray short-tailed opossum)
Lineage: Eukaryota; Metazoa; Chordata; Mammalia; Didelphimorphia; Didelphidae
Source: RefSeq, a predicted model, not a curated record